UAUGCACGCUGGCGGCGUGCCUAAUACAUGCAAGUCGAGCGAACAGAUAAGGAGCUUGCUCCUUUGACGUUAGCGGCGGACGGGUGAGUAACACGUGGUUAACCUACCUAUAAGACUGGAAUAACUCCGGGAAACCGGGGCUAAUGCCGGAUAACAUGUUGAACCGCAUGGUUCUAUAGUGAAAGACGGCUUUGCUGUCACUUAUAGAUGGACCCGCGCCGUAUUAGCUAGUUGGUGAGGUAACGGCUCACCAAGGCAACGAUACGUAGCCGACCUGAGAGGGUGAUCGGCCACACUGAAACUGAGACACGGUCCAGACUCCUACGGGAGGCAGCAGUAGGGAAUCUUCCGCAAUGGGCGAAAGCGUGACGUAGCAACGCCGCGUGAGUGAUGAAGGUCUUCGGAUCGUAAAACUCUGUUAUUAUGGAAGAACAAAUGCGUAAGUAACUAUGCGCGUCUUGACGGUACCUAAUCAGAAAGCCACGGCUAACUACGUG
Molecule: ribosomal RNA, 497 nt
Filed under: uncultured bacterium
Lineage: Bacteria
Description: partial 16S ribosomal RNA
Rfam family: Bacterial small subunit ribosomal RNA
Source: RNAcentral